RNAcentral lists this ribosomal RNA (508 nucleotides) under uncultured bacterium. RNAcentral's name for it is "partial 16S ribosomal RNA". It matches the Rfam family "Bacterial small subunit ribosomal RNA", at positions 28 to 523 of the family's 1533-position model. The record is from RNAcentral.
GAUGAACGCUAGCUACAGGCUUAACACAUGCAAGUCGAGGGGAAACGAUAUUGGAAGCUUGCUUCCGAUAGGCGUCGACCGGCGCACGGGUGAGUAACGCGUAUCCAACCAGCCCAUCACUUGGGGAUAACCUUGCGAAAGUAAGACUAAUACCCAAUGACGUCUCUAGAAGACAUCUGAAAGAGAUUAAAGAUUUAUCGGUGAUGGAUGGGGAUGCGUCUGAUUAGCUUGUUGGCGGGGUAACGGCCCACCAAGGCGACGAUCAGUAGGGGGUCUGAGAGGAAGGUCCCCCACAUUGGAGCUGAGACACGGUCCAAACUCCUACGGGAGGCAGCAGUGAGGAAUAUUGGUCAAUGGGCGAGAGCCUGAACCAGCCAAGUAGUGUGCAGGAUGACGGCCCUAUGGGUUGUAAGCUGCUUUUAUAAGGGAAUAAAGUGGGAGUCGUGACUCCUUUUGCAUGUACCUUAUGAAUAAGGACCGGCUAAUUCCGUGCCAGCCGCCGCGGUAA